Molecule: transfer RNA, 73 nt
Filed under: Merluccius polli (Benguela hake)
Lineage: Eukaryota; Metazoa; Chordata; Actinopteri; Gadiformes; Merlucciidae
Description: tRNA-Leu
Rfam family: tRNA
About the family: Transfer RNA (tRNA) molecules are approximately 80 nucleotides in length.
Source: RNAcentral
GAUAGCGUGGCCGAGCGGUCUAAGGCGCUGGAUUAAGGCUUCGGAGGCGUGUGUUCGAAUCCCACCGCUGUCA